GAUGAACGCUAGCUACAGGCUUAACACAUGCAAGUCGAGGGGAAACGACAUCGAAAGCUUGCUUUUGAUGGGCGUCGACCGGCGCACGGGUGAGUAACGCGUAUCCAACCUGCCCACCACUUGGGGAUAACCUUGCGAAAGUAAGACUAAUACCCAAUGACGUCUCUAGAAGACAUCUGAAAGAGAUUAAAGAUUUAUCGGUGAUGGAUGGGGAUGCGUCUGAUUAGCUUGUUGGCGGGGUAACGGCCCACCAAGGCAACGAUCAGUAGGGGUUCUGAGAGGAAGGUCCCCCACAUUGGAACUGAGACACGGUCCAAACUCCUACGGGAGGCAGCAGUGAGGAAUAUUGGUCAAUGGACGAGAGUCUGAACCAGCCAAGUAGCGUGCAGGAAGACGGCCCUAUGGGUUGUAAACUGCUUUAUAAGGGAAUAAAGUUAGUCUCGUGAGACUUUUUGCAUGUACCUUAUGAAUAAGGACCGGCUAAUUCCGUG
RNAcentral lists this ribosomal RNA (491 nucleotides) under uncultured bacterium. RNAcentral's name for it is "partial 16S ribosomal RNA". It matches the Rfam family "Bacterial small subunit ribosomal RNA", at positions 28 to 507 of the family's 1533-position model. The record is from RNAcentral.